GACGAACGCUGGCGGCGUGCUUAACACAUGCAAGUCGAACGGAAAGGCCCUGCUUUUGUGGGGUGCUCGAGUGGCGAACGGGUGAGUAACACGUGAGUAACCUGCCCUUGACUUUGGGAUAACUUCAGGAAACUGGGGCUAAUACCGGAUAGGAGCUCCUGCUGCAUGGUGGGGGUUGGAAAGUUUCGGCGGUUGGGGAUGGACUCGCGGCUUAUCAGCUUGUUGGUGGGGUAGUGGCUUACCAAGGCUUUGACGGGUAGCCGGCCUGAGAGGGUGACCGGCCACAUUGGGACUGAGAUACGGCCCAGACUCCUACGGGAGGCAGCAGUGGGGAAUAUUGCACAAUGGGCGGAAGCCUGAUGCAGCAACGCCGCGUGCGGGAUGACGGCCUUCGGGUUGUAAACCGCCUUCGUCUGUGACGAAGCGUGAGUGACGGUAAUGGGUAAAGAAGCACCGGCUAACUACGUG
This 468-nucleotide ribosomal RNA is filed under the name uncultured bacterium. Its description in RNAcentral is "partial 16S ribosomal RNA". It matches the Rfam family "Bacterial small subunit ribosomal RNA", at positions 28 to 507 of the family's 1533-position model. The record is from RNAcentral.